UUUUGAGAGUUUGAUCCUGGCUCAGGACGAACGCUGGCGGCGUGCCUAACACAUGCAAGUCGAACGUUUCGUACUUUCGCAAGAAAGUGUGAAACGUGGCAAACGGGUGAGUAACACGUAAGCAACCUACCUCAAAGACUGGAACAACCCCGCGAAAGCGGGGCUAAUUCCAGAUGUGUUUCCGAUGACUCAUGUUGUCGGAAAUAAAUCCCGCAAGGGGCUUUGAGAUGGGCUUGCGGCCUAUCAGCUAGUUGGCGGGGUAACGGCCCACCAAGGCGAUGACGGGUAGCUGGUCUGAGAGGACGACCAGCCACAAGGGAACUGAGACACGGUCCCUACUCCUACGGGAGGCAGCAGUGAGGAAUUUUCCGCAAUGGGCGAAAGCCUGACGGAGCGACGCCGUGUGGGUGAUGAAGGCUUUCGGGUCUUAAAGCCCUGUCAGCAGGAACGAUAUUGACGGUACCUGCAGAGGAAGCCCCGGCUAACUACGUGCCAGCAGCCGCGGUAAUACGUAGGGGGCGAGCGUUGUCCGGAGUUACUGGGCGUAAAGG
RNAcentral lists this ribosomal RNA (551 nucleotides) under Candidatus Margulisiibacteriota bacterium. RNAcentral's name for it is "bacterial SSU rRNA". It matches the Rfam family "Bacterial small subunit ribosomal RNA", at positions 1 to 566 of the family's 1533-position model. Lineage: Bacteria; Bacillati; Candidatus Margulisiibacteriota. The record is from RNAcentral.